GAGCGCGAUCAUAGUAGAACUAAUGCACCGAAUCCCAUCUGAACUCCGCAGUUGAGCCUGCUUGGGCGAGAGUAGUACUAGGAUGGGUGACCUCCAGGGAAUUCCUCGUGUUCUACCCC
This 119-nucleotide ribosomal RNA is filed under the name Gossypium arboreum. The record is from RNAcentral. Lineage: Eukaryota; Viridiplantae; Streptophyta; Magnoliopsida; Malvales; Malvaceae.